Molecule: unclassified non-coding RNA, 390 nt
Filed under: soil metagenome
Description: partial contains 5.8S ribosomal RNA, internal transcribed spacer 2, and large subunit ribosomal RNA
Rfam family: 5.8S ribosomal RNA (bases 1-122)
Source: RNAcentral
GAUGAAGAACGUAGCGAAAUGCGAUACUUGGUGUGAAUUGCAGAAUCCCGUGAACCAUCGAGUCUUUGAACGCAAGUUGCGCCCGAAGCCAUUAGGCCGAGGGCACGCCUGCCUGGGCGUCACACGUCGUUGCCCCCCCAUCUACUCCUUCGGGAUUGCGGGGGGCGGAUGAUGGCCUCCCGUGCGCCUCGCCGCGCGGUUGGCAUAAAUGCCAAGUCCUCGGCGACGCACGCCACGACAAUCGGUGGUUGCGAAACCUCGGUUGCCCGUCGUGUGCGGUCGUCGCGCAUUGAGGGCUCGAAAAAAUUGCCGGGUUCCGGCUCGGCUUUCAACGCGACCCCAGGUCAGGCGGGGUUACCCGCUGAAUUUAAGCAUAUCAAUAAGCGGAGA